AGAGUUUGAUCCUGGCUCAGGAUGAACGCUGGCGGCGUGCUUAACACAUGCAAGUCGAACGGGAUCCAUCAGGCUUUGCUUGGUGGUGAGAGUGGCGAACGGGUGAGUAAUGCGUGACCGACCUGCCCCAUACACCGGAAUAGCUCCUGGAAACGGGUGGUAAUGCCGGAUGCUCCGACUCCUCGCAUGGGGUGUCGGGAAAGAUUUCAUCGGUAUGGGAUGGGGUCGCGUCCUAUCAGGUAGUCGGCGGGGUAACGGCCCACCGAGCCUACGACGGGUAGCCGGCCUGAGAGGGCGACCGGCCACAUUGGGACUGAGAUACGGCCCAGACUCCUACGGGAGGCAGCAGUGGGGAAUAUUGCACAAUGGGCGCAAGCCUGAUGCAGCGACGCCGCGUGCGGGAUGACGGCCUUCGGGUUGUAAACCKCUUUUGAUCGGGGAGCAAGCCYKMGRGUGAGUKUACCYKUYGAAUAAGCACCGGCUAACUACGUGCCAGCAGCCGCGGUAAU
Molecule: ribosomal RNA, 509 nt
Filed under: uncultured Bifidobacterium sp.
Lineage: Bacteria; Bacillati; Actinomycetota; Actinomycetes; Bifidobacteriales; Bifidobacteriaceae
Description: bacterial SSU rRNA
Rfam family: Bacterial small subunit ribosomal RNA
Source: RNAcentral